RNAcentral lists this ribosomal RNA (446 nucleotides) under Bacillus pumilus. Its description in RNAcentral is "bacterial SSU rRNA". It matches the Rfam family "Bacterial small subunit ribosomal RNA", at positions 1014 to 1463 of the family's 1533-position model. The record is from RNAcentral. Lineage: Bacteria; Bacillati; Bacillota; Bacilli; Caryophanales; Bacillaceae.
UCCCUUCGGGGACAGAGUGACAGGUGGUGCAUGGUUGUCGUCAGCUCGUGUCGUGAGAUGUUGGGUUAAGUCCCGCAACGAGCGCAACCCUUGAUCUUAGUUGCCAGCAUUUAGUUGGGCACUCUAAGGUGACUGCCGGUGACAAACCGGAGGAAGGUGGGGAUGACGUCAAAUCAUCAUGCCCCUUAUGACCUGGGCUACACACGUGCUACAAUGGACAGAACAAAGGGCUGCGAGACCGCAAGGUUUAGCCAAUCCCAUAAAUCUGUUCUCAGUUCGGAUCGCAGUCUGCAACUCGACUGCGUGAAGCUGGAAUCGCUAGUAAUCGCGGAUCAGCAUGCCGCGGUGAAUACGUUCCCGGGCCUUGUACACACCGCCCGUCACACCACGAGAGUUUGUAACACCCGAAGUCGGUGAGGUAACCUUAUGAGCCAGCCGCCGAUCGA